GGUUAAGUUAACAAGGGCGCAUGGUGAAUGCCUUGGCACUAGGAGCCGAUGAAGGACGGGACUAACACCGAUAUGCUUCGGGGAGCUGUACGUAAGCUAUGAUCCGGAGAUUUCCGAAUGGGGCAACCCAGCAGUUUUAAUCAACUGUUACCACUAGAUGAAUUCAUAGUCUAGUUGGAGGUAAACGCUGUGAACUGAAACAUCUCAUUAGCAGCAGGAAUAUAAAGAAAUUUCGAUUCCCUAAGUAGCGGCGAGCGAACGGGGAACAGCCCAAACCAAAGUGCUUGCACUUUGGGGUUGUAGGACUGAACAUUUGAGUUACCAAAGAACUUGAUAGUCGAAGGAUUUGGGAAAAUCCGCCAUAGAUGGUGAUAGCCCAGUAGAUUAAAUCAAAUUCUCUCAGUUCAGGAUCCUGAGUACGGCGGAACACGUGAAAUUCCGACGGAAUCCGGGAGGACCAUCUCCCAAGGCUAAAUACUACCUAGUGACCGAUAGUGAACCAGUACCGUGAGGGAAAGGGUGAAAAGCACCCCGGGAGGGGAGUGAAAUAGUUCCUGAAACCAUGUGCCUACAAUAAGUCAGAGCGCGUUAAUGCGUGAUGGCGUGCCUUUUGUAGAAUGAACCGGCGAGUUAUGAUCCCGUGCAAGGUUAAGACUAAAAAGUCGGAGCCGUAGCGAAAGCGAGUCUGAAAUGGGCGAUUUGAGUACGAGGUUAUAGACCCGAAACCAGGUGACCUAUCCAUGUCCAGGUUGAAGGUGCGGUAAAACGCACUGGAGGACCGAACCCGUGUAAGUUGAAAAUUGCUGGGAUGAGGUGUGGAUAGCGGUGAAAUUCCAAACGAACUUGGAGAUAGCUGGUUCUCUCCGAAAUAGCUUUAGGGCUAGCCUCGGAUUAAGGAUCAUGGAGGUAGAGCACUAUUUGGACUAGGGCCCCGUCUUGGGUUACUGAAUUCAGAUAAACUCCGAAUGCCAUUGAUUCAUGUCCGGGAGUCAGACGAUGAGUGAUAAGAUCCACCGUCGAAAGGGGAACAGCCCAGACCAUCAGUUAAGGUCCCUAAAUGUAUGCUAAGUGGAAAAGGAUGUGGAGUUGCAUAGACAACUAGGAUGUUGGCUCAGAAGCAGCCACCAUUUAAAGAGUGCGUAAUAGCUCACUAGUCGAGUGAUCCUGCGCCGAAAAUGUACCGGGGCUAAGCAUACUACCGAAACCAUGGAUGCGACCAUUAGGUCGCGUGAUAGGAGAGCGUUCUAAGGGCGGUGAAGCAAGAUCGUGAGGACUUGUGGAGCGCUUAGAAGUGAGAAUGCCGGUAUGAGUAGCGAAAGAUAGGUGAGAAUCCUAUCCACCGAAUGACUAAGGUUUCCUGGGGAAGGCUCGUCCUCCCAGGGUUAGUCGGGACCUAAGUCGAGGCCGAGAGGCGUAGACGAUGGAUAACAGGUUGAGAUUCCUGUACUAGUUAAGUGCGUUUGAGCAAUGGAGGGACGCAGGAGGCUAAGAUGUGCAUUCUGUUGGAUUAGAAUGUCCAAGCAGUAAGUCUUGUGGAGAGUCAAAUGCUUUUCACUUUAAGGACAAGCUGUGAUGGGGAGCGAAAUUUAGUAGCGAAGCGUCUGAUGUCACACUGCCGAGAAAAGCUUCUAGUGAGUACUUAACUACCCGUACCGCAAACCGACACAGGUAGUCGAGGAGAGAAUCCUAAGGUGAGCGAGUGAACUCUCGUUAAGGAACUCGGCAAAAUGACCCCGUAACUUCGGGAGAAGGGGUGCUGAUCGCAAGAUCAGCCGCAGUGAAUAGGCCCAGGCGACUGUUUAUCAAAAACACAGGUCUCUGCAAAAUCGUAAGAUGACGUAUAGGGGCUGACGCCUGCCCGGUGCUGGAAGGUUAAAAGGAUGGGUUAGCUUCGGCGAAGCUCAGAAUUGAAGCCCCAGUAAACGGCGGCCGUAACUAUAACGGUCCUAAGGUAGCGAAAUUCCUUGUCGGGUAAGUUCCGACCCGCACGAAAGGCGUAACGAUCUGGGCACUGUCUCAACGAGAGACUCGGUGAAAUUAUAUUGUCCGUGAAGAUGCGGACUACCCGCGACAGGACGGAAAGACCCCAUGGAGCUUUACUGUAGCUUGAUAUUGAGUGUUUGUACAGCUUGUACAGGAUAGGUAGGAGCCAUAGAAACCGGAACGCUAGUUUCGGUGGAGGCGUUGGUGGGAUACUACCCUCGCUGUAUGACCACUCUAACCCGCACCACUAAUCGUGGUGGGAGACAGUGUCAGGUGGGCAGUUUGACUGGGGCGGUCGCCUCCUAAAAAGUAACGGAGGCGCCCAAAGGUUCCCUCAGAAUGGUUGGAAAUCAUUCGCAGAGUGUAAAGGCACAAGGGAGCUUGACUGCGAGACAGACAGGUCGAGCAGGGACGAAAGUCGGGCUUAGUGAUCCGGUGGUACCGUAUGGAAGGGCCAUCGCUCAACGGAUAAAAGCUACCCUGGGGAUAACAGGCUUAUCUCCCCCAAGAGUCCACAUCGACGGGGAGGUUUGGCACCUCGAUGUCGGCUCAUCGCAUCCUGGGGCUGUAGUCGGUCCCAAGGGUUGGGCUGUUCGCCCAUUAAAGCGGUACGCGAGCUGGGUUCAGAACGUCGUGAGACAGUUCGGUCCCUAUCCGUCGCGGGCGUAGGAAAUUUGAGAGGACCUGUCCUUAGUACGAGAGGACCGGGAUGGACAUACCUCUGGUGUACCAGUUGUGCCGCCAGGCGCAUCGCUGGGUAGCUACGUAUGGAUGUGAUAAACGCUGAAAGCAUCUAAGUGUGAAACACACCUCGAGAUGAGAUUUCCCAUUCCUUUAUGGAAGUAAGACCCCUGAAAGAUGAUCAGGUAGAUAGGUUAGAAGUGGCAGUGCGGUGACGCAUGAAGCGGACUAAUACUAAUCGGUCGAGGACUUAACCAA
RNAcentral lists this ribosomal RNA (2922 nucleotides) under Lactiplantibacillus pentosus. RNAcentral's name for it is "23S ribosomal RNA". It matches the Rfam family "Bacterial large subunit ribosomal RNA". The record is from RNAcentral. Lineage: Bacteria; Bacillati; Bacillota; Bacilli; Lactobacillales; Lactobacillaceae.